UACGGAGGGUGCAAGCGUUAAUCGGAAUUACUGGGCGUAAAGCGCGCGUAGGCGGCUUUGUAAGUCGGAUGUGAAAGCCCCGGGCUUAACCUGGGAAUUGCAUUCGAUACUGCAUAGCUAGAGUAUGGUAGAGGGUAGCGGAAUUCCGGGUGUAGCGGUGAAAUGCGUAGAUAUCCGGAGGAACACCAGUGGCGAAGGCGGCUACCUGGACCGGUAUUGACGCUGAGGUGCGAAAGCGUGGGGAGCAAACAGG
This 253-nucleotide ribosomal RNA is filed under the name uncultured bacterium. Its description in RNAcentral is "partial 16S ribosomal RNA". It matches the Rfam family "Bacterial small subunit ribosomal RNA", at positions 524 to 776 of the family's 1533-position model. The record is from RNAcentral.